Molecule: ribosomal RNA, 354 nt
Filed under: uncultured bacterium
Lineage: Bacteria
Description: bacterial SSU rRNA
Rfam family: Bacterial small subunit ribosomal RNA
Source: RNAcentral
GGGCCCGCACAAGCGGUGGAGUAUGUGGUUUAAUUCGAUGCAACGCGAAGAACCUUACCAGGGUUUGACAUCCUGCGAAUCUCUUGGAAACUUGAGAGUGCCUUCGGGAGCGCAGUGACAGGUGGUGCAUGGCUGUCGUCAGCUCGUGUCGUGAGAUGUUGGGUUAAGUCCCGCAACGAGCGCAACCCACGUCUUUAGUUGCCAGCAUUUAGUUGGGCACUCUAGAGAGACCGCCGGUGAUAAACCGGAGGAAGGUGUGGAUGACGUCAAGUCAUCAUGCCCCUUACAUCCUGGGCUACACACGUACUACAAUGGCGAUGACAAGUGGGCAGCGACCCCGCAAGGGUGAGCUAA